This 497-nucleotide ribosomal RNA is filed under the name uncultured bacterium. RNAcentral describes it as "partial 16S ribosomal RNA". It matches the Rfam family "Bacterial small subunit ribosomal RNA", at positions 28 to 507 of the family's 1533-position model. The record is from RNAcentral.
GAUGAACGCUGGCGGCGUGCCUAAUACAUGCAAGUCGAGCGAACAGACGAGGAGCUUGCUCCUCUGACGUUAGCGGCGGACGGGUGAGUAACACGUGGAUAACCUACCUAUAUGACUGGGAUAACUUCGGGAAACCGGAGCUAAUACCGGAUAAUAUAUUGAACCGCAUGGUUCAAUAGUGAAAGACGGUUUUGCUGUCACUUAUAGAUUGUUCCGCGCCGCAUUAGCUAGUUGGUAAGGUAACGGCUUACCAAGGCAACGAUGCGUAGCCGACCUGAGAGGGUGAUCGGCCACACUGGAACUGAGACACGGUCAAGACUCCUACGGGAGGCAGCAGUAGGGAAUAUUCCGCAAUGGGCGAAAGCAUGACGGAGCAACGCCGCGUGAGUGAUGAAGGUCUUCGGAUCGUAAAACUCUGUUAUUAGGGAAGAACAAAUGUGUAAGUAACUAUGCACGUCUUGACGGUACCUAAUCAGAAAGCCACGGCUAACUACGUG